GACGUAGGGCGCGAGCGUUGUCCGGAUUUAUUGGGCGUAAAGAGCUCGUAGGCGGUUCCGUAAGUCGGGUGUGAAAAAUCUGGGCUCAACCCAGUGGAGCACCCGAUACUGCGGUGACUCGAGUCCGGUAGGGGAGUGUGGAAUUCCUGGUGUAGCGGUGAAAUGCGCAGAUAUCAGGAGGAACACCGACGGCGAAGGCAGCACUCUGGGCCGGUACUGACGCUGAGGAGCGAAAGCAUGGGGAGCGAACAGG
This 253-nucleotide ribosomal RNA is filed under the name uncultured bacterium. Its description in RNAcentral is "partial 16S ribosomal RNA". It matches the Rfam family "Bacterial small subunit ribosomal RNA", at positions 524 to 776 of the family's 1533-position model. The record is from RNAcentral.